RNAcentral lists this ribosomal RNA (301 nucleotides) under uncultured bacterium. RNAcentral describes it as "partial 16S ribosomal RNA". It matches the Rfam family "Bacterial small subunit ribosomal RNA", at positions 509 to 807 of the family's 1533-position model. The record is from RNAcentral.
CAGUAGCCGCGGGAAUACGUAGGUCCCGAGCGUUGUCCGGAUUUAUUGGGCGUAAAGGGCUCGCAGGCGGUUUCUUAAGUCUGAUGUGAAAGCCCCCGGCUCAACCGGGGAGGGUCAUUGGAAACUGGGAAACUUGAGUGCAGAAGAGGAGAGUGGAAUUCCACGUGUAGCGGUGAAAUGCGUAGAGAUGUGGAGGAACACCAGUGGCGAAGGCGACUCUCUGGUCUGUAACUGACGCUGAGGAGCGAAAGCGUGGGGAGCGAACAGGAUUAGAUACCCGCGUAGUCCCUGUCUCUUAUAC